CGUUCCCUACGGGGGGCAGCAGUGAGGAAUAUUGGUCAAUGGCCGGAAGGCUGAACCAGCCAAGUCGCGUGAGGGAAUAAGGCCCUAUGGGUUGUAAACCUCUUUUGUCAGGGAGCAACGCCGGCUACGUGUAGCCGGACUGAGAGUACCUGAAGAAAAAGCAUCGGCUAACUCCGUGCCAGCAGCCGCGGUAAUACGGAGGAUGCAAGCGUUAUCCGGAUUUAUUGGGUUUAAAGGGUGCGUAGGCGGAAUGCCAAGUCAGCGGUAAAAUCGCGGGGCUCAACCUCGCUCCGCCGUUGAAACUG
Molecule: ribosomal RNA, 305 nt
Filed under: uncultured bacterium
Lineage: Bacteria
Description: bacterial SSU rRNA
Rfam family: Bacterial small subunit ribosomal RNA
Source: RNAcentral